AGUGAACGCUGGCGGCGUGCCUAAUACAUGCAAGUCGAACGGAGUGGCGCACGGGUGAGUAAUAUAUAGCUAAUCUGCCCCUUGCUGGAGGACAACAGUUAGAAAUGACUGCUAAUACUCCAUAGCAAGGGAUGGGGCUAUAUCGUAUCAGCUAGUCGGUGGGGUAACGGCCUACCGAGGCUAUGACGCGUAACUGUUCUGAGAGGAUGAUCAGCAACAUUGGAACUGAGGCACGGUCCAAACUCCUACGGGAGGGAGCAGUAGGGAAUAAUGCGCAAUGGGGGAAACCCUGACGCAGCUACGCCGCGUGGAGGACGACAAUUUUCGGAGAGUAAACUCAUUUUGUUAGGGAAGCGGUACCUAACGAAUAAGCACCGGCUAACUCCGUGCCAGCAGCCGCGGUAAUUC
This 408-nucleotide ribosomal RNA is filed under the name uncultured bacterium. RNAcentral's name for it is "partial 16S ribosomal RNA". It matches the Rfam family "Bacterial small subunit ribosomal RNA", at positions 29 to 526 of the family's 1533-position model. The record is from RNAcentral.